Molecule: unclassified non-coding RNA, 385 nt
Filed under: Hevea brasiliensis (rubber tree)
Lineage: Eukaryota; Viridiplantae; Streptophyta; Magnoliopsida; Malpighiales; Euphorbiaceae
Source: RNAcentral
AUUAUUGUUGUUGUUGUUGUUGUGAAAUUUUAUUUAUUUAUUUUAGUACCUCCUUUGAAAUAGUUGAGAGUUCCGUUGGCUGGAGGACGGUUGAAUGUUGCACUUGUUUGAUGGGUGAGGUGAAGUAAUGCUUUAGCUUGUAAGAAAGCAACUCAAUUUUGUUGCAAACUUGGGGUUUGGAAUGAAAUUUUGUUUAGCUAUAAUUUCUAGUGAUUUUAUUUGGAUGCUUCUAAUCACUUCAAAUUAUCCAGUUUUGCUGGUUUCAUAGUUGUUAAAGGCACGCCCUCAGGCUCAAGGCUCACCAGUCUCGAACCCUAGCGCCUUAUGCGCUUAGGCAUGCGCCUUUGUUCUAGGAGCAAAAUUCUAGAAAGGCAUGCCUUAUUUA